RNAcentral lists this ribosomal RNA (253 nucleotides) under uncultured bacterium. RNAcentral's name for it is "partial 16S ribosomal RNA". It matches the Rfam family "Bacterial small subunit ribosomal RNA", at positions 524 to 776 of the family's 1533-position model. The record is from RNAcentral.
UACGAAGGGGGCUAGCGUUGUUCGGAAUUACUGGGCGUAAAGCGCACGUAGGCGGCGCAGCAAGUUGGGGGUGAAAUCCCGAGGCUCAACCUCGGAAUUGCCUUCAAAACUGCUGUGCUCGAGUUCGGAAGAGGUGAGUGGAAUUCCCAGUGUAGAGGUGAAAUUCGUAGAGAUUGGGAAGAACACCAGUGGCGAAGGCGGCUCACUGGUCCGCAACUGACGCUGAGGUGCGAAGGCUAGGGGAGCGAACAGG